Molecule: long non-coding RNA, 310 nt
Organism: Miniopterus natalensis
Lineage: Eukaryota; Metazoa; Chordata; Mammalia; Chiroptera; Miniopteridae
Source: RefSeq, a predicted model, not a curated record
GGGGCCCUCCCCCCCACUCACCUCCCUCCCCAACUCGGUCUCUGAAAGGAGAGGGUUUGUUUUCCCUCAUAAGAGUCCACUUGCUGACACACCUCGGGAAGAAGCCGCAGCAGACAGAGAGAAUGGACGGGGCCACACUCCUAAACCCAGAGCUGAGUUCCACUCCCGGGAGCUGAGGUUCGGACACGGAGGCCAACUGCCCUCUUUGGGUAGUUUACUUAGAGCCUUUUCUAAAUAACAGCCAGCAUUCUAGGCUCGGAGACGUUUGCUAUCGCAGUACUUACCAAUGAAUUCUACAAGAUUCUUCAAA